This 420-nucleotide ribosomal RNA is filed under the name bacterium. RNAcentral's name for it is "partial 16S ribosomal RNA". It matches the Rfam family "Bacterial small subunit ribosomal RNA", at positions 355 to 776 of the family's 1533-position model. The record is from RNAcentral.
UGGGGGAUAUUGCACAAUGGGCGAAAGCCUGAUGCAGCGACGCCGCGUGGGGGAUGAAGGCUUUCGGGUUGUAAACCUCUUUCGCUAUCGAACAAGGCCCGCUUAGGGUGGGUUGAGGGUAGGUGGAGAAGAAGCGCCGGCUAACUACGUUCCAGCAGCCGCGGUAAUACGUAGGGCGCGAGCGUUGUCCGGAAUUAUUGGGCGUAAAGGGCUUGUAGGCGGCUUGUUGCGCCUGCUGUGAAAACGCGGGGCUUAACUUCGCGCGUGCAGUGGGUACGGGCAGGGUUGAGUGUGGUAGGGGUGACUGGAAUUCCAGGUGUAGCGGUGGAAUGCGCAGAUAUCUGGAGGAACACCGAUGGCGAAGGCAGGUCACUGGGCCAUUACUGACGCUGAGGAGCGAAAGCAUGGGUAGCGAACAGG